Molecule: long non-coding RNA, 2313 nt
Organism: Gadus morhua (Atlantic cod)
Lineage: Eukaryota; Metazoa; Chordata; Actinopteri; Gadiformes; Gadidae
Source: Ensembl
AUGACGACGAUUUCCGUACCAAGGAUAGGUUUGACCUACUUUAUAUGUUUUUCUUCCUUCCUCCCUCCCUGCCUCCCUGCCUCCCUCCCUGCCUCCCUCCCUCCUCCAAUCUCUCUCCCUCAUCCCUCCCUCCCUCAUCCCUCCCUCCCUCCUCCACUCUCUCUCUCUCAUCCCUCCCUCCUUCCUCCCUCCCUCCCCUCCCUCCCUCCUUCCUCCGUUCCAACCUUCCUCCCUCUCCCCCUCCCUUGCUCCUUCCUUCCUCCCUUCAUCCCUCCCUCCCUCCCUCCUCCCUUCCUCCCUCCCUCCCUCCCUCCCUCCCUCCCUCCCUCCCUCCCUCCCUCUCCCCCUCCCUUGUUCCUUCCUUCCUCCCUUCAUCCCUCCCUCCCUCCCUCCCUCCUCCCUCCCUCCCCCUCCCUCCCUCCCUCCCUCCCUCCCUCCCUCCCUCCUCCCUCCCUCCCAUCAGACUGCGUGCCUGAGGAGGUGGAGGUACCAGAGGAGCCCGCAGACGGAGGACCCACCAUCUCCACCCUCAAUCUCUGCACUGAGACGUUCCACAGGGAGUACCAGACCCUGCCGUCCUCCAGACAUCUGGACCACAGGGCAGCUGACCAAUCACAGCAGCUGCUCAGGAUCUCCCUGGGUCCGUCGGCCAGGAAGCAGAACCCCAACAUGAGGACCUUCAUGCGCCAAGCCCUGUCCCAGGAGAACCUCAGUCUGGACCCGCGGCCAGCGGAACCGUCCCACAACCCCAGCCCCUCGCUCCCUCACUGGCCCAGUGCCUCCACACACAGCCUCCUCCAAAAGCCCCCGAACCCCACCCAGAACCAGAACCCCACCCAGAACCAGCCCCAGAACCCCACCCAGUACCAGCCCCAGAACCCCACCCAGUACCAGCCCCAGAACCCCACCCAGUACCAGCCCCAGAACCCCACCCAGUACCAGCCCCAGAACCCCACCCAGUACCAGCCCCAGAAACCCACCCAGUACCACACCCAGCCCCAGGCCGAGAACCCCACCCAGAACCAGAACCCCACCCAGAACCAGCCCCAGAACCCCACCCAGAACCCCUACCAUCCCCAGAGCCUCAACCAGCCUGAGAACCCCACCCAGCCCCAGAAUCCUACACAGAGCCCCUCCAGACUCCAGAACCCCACCCAAAACCCCAUCCAGAACCCCUCAAGACCCCAGAACCCCACCCAAAGCCCCUCCAGACUCCAGAACCCCACCCAAAACCCCAUCCACAACCCCUCAAGACUCCAGAACCCCAACCAGAAUCCCAACCAUCCCCAGAACCCCUCCAGACACCAGUACCCCACCCAAAACCCCACCCAGCCCCAUAUCCCCCCCCAAAGCCCCUCCAGACCCCAUAACCCCACCCAGCCCCAGAACCCAGCCCAAAGCCCCUCCAGACCCCAGAACCACGCGCAGAACCAGAACCCCACCCAGGCCCAGAACCCAGAACCCCAGGAUGUAAAGAGCAGCGCUGGCGUGUGGAGAACCCCUCCCUCCCGGACCUCCACCCAGCCCACCCGCAUCGACAUCCCCAUAACGAGGCCCGACGCCCCGCCCAGACCGCUCCUCUCCACCUUCCAGCACCACCCUGCCCUGGGCCCCGUCCGGUCGGUCCAGGGUGGCCACCGCCCCGUCACCUCCUCCCCGCCCUCCUCCACCACCCCCACCUCCUCACCCCGACCAAGGCAGAGCGCCGCCCCCAGCCAACCACAGCGCACCGCCUCCAGUCCUCAGAGGCCCGCCCCCCCCACCCGGCACGUCUCCUUCCAGGACCCGCCCCCCGGGGCGGGGGAGGGCCUCUCCCCGGACCCCUGGCGCAGGGAGGAGCGGGAGAGGCUGCGGGAGCAGCUGGAGGAGCAGCGGCGGCGGAGGGAGCUGGAGGCGCUGGAGGAGGAGGUGAGGGAGCUGGGCGCCAGGGCGGCCCGCUCCCCGGGGGACGGCGAGAGGCUGCGCCGGCUCACCCUGGAGCUGCAGUUCCAGAGGAGGCUGCAGGAGCUGCAGCAGAACGGGGGGGAGGAGGAGGAGGAGGAGGAGGAGGAGGAGGAGUUCAGGGUGAUCCCCCAACGCACCGAGAACAGACUUGGGGAGAAAAGCCAGGUUAAGGAGCAUCAAACUACCAACCCGGCUGACCCAGAAGGACAGAGGAUGGCUCCAGAUCAAAAAUCGAUUGGAUACGGCCGUGCUUCUCAUGAGGUGGUCCCAAAAAAAAGCCAGGAAGACUCGCUCCAGAGUAUGGCGGCUCCGGAGAAACUUCCCUUUAAGGAACGCCAGCGUCUCUUCUCUCUGGGGUCAGCCUCGUAA